Catharus ustulatus (Swainson's thrush) is the source of this 1226-nucleotide long non-coding RNA. RefSeq lists it as uncharacterized. NCBI's taxonomy places the organism in Eukaryota, Metazoa, Chordata, Aves, Passeriformes, Turdidae. The transcript is spliced from 3 exons. The record is from RefSeq and is a predicted model, not a curated record.
UGUUUCCAGCCCGGAGGAUGGGGAUGGUGCCCCGGUGUUCGGGCUGGGCUUGCACAAACACCCGUGCUGGGAGCGGUGUGGGCUGCCGCUAUUAUUCUAACAAUCAGCCCCAAGCUGUUACAAAGGGCUCUGAAGAAGUUCUGCCUGGUUUUGUUGUUUUUAGGGGUUUUUUUUUGAGCUGCGAGGGCCAGACCCGAGCAGGUGGAGACCUGCUCUGCUCGGAGCACCGUGCCUGGUUCAGAAACCCGGGGUAGCUACACCCUGCGAGCCCAGCACGUUCAUCCCACCCUGUCUGCACUGCACAGCCCCACCGACCUGCCCAGCUCCGCACACCCAGGCUGGGGGCACAGCCAGCAACAGCAAGCCCUGAACCCACCUCCCACCAAGCAAUAACCCUGCAGAGACCUGAAAAGGGAGGAGCUGCACAUCCCGGGUCCUAAACAUCCUCCGGCACCAGGAGAGGGAGGAAGAUGAGCGAUGCUUUGGGCGUGCAGGACCGGGAUGGAGCACUCCAGGAACCCUCAAGGCUUGCAGGAGAUGCCCGGAGAGCUGCUGUGCCUCUUCCCGACACCAACCUGCUGGUGUCCCCAUGCUGAUCGUGUUUUUGCCACGGACAUUGGGGUGCUCUGGCACUCGGGAGAGCAUUGGGAUUCAUUUUUCCAGCUUCCCUUUUUUUGUCGGAUUUCAGAUCUGCAUAUGCAAACUCAGCCUGGUGAUCAGCUCUGCAGGGAGGAACCUGAAGGCUGAUGAUGAUGGAGAGGCACCAAGGGAGAUGGAAGAGCUCUUGCCUGAGUGUUAAAACUGUCUGACAGAGAUCUACAGCUGCCUGGGAGCUCUUAACAGGAAUCACAGAAUCCCAGGGAUGGGUGAGGUUGGAAUGCAUCACACUGGGGUCACCUGGACCAGCUUCUCUGCUCCAGCAGGGCCAUCCCAGAGCUCAGGGUUGUGUCCAGAUCAUUCUGGAAUAUCCCACUGAGGAGACUCCAGACCCUCUCUGGUCUCUGCUCAGUGCUUGAUCCCACACAGGGAAGUUCUUCCUCAUGUCCAGGUGGGCUCAGUUUGUGGGAUCAGUCCCUGCCCAUUCCUGUAAUCCUGUUGCUGGACAGGAUAACAAUUAAUAGCAAUAUCCUAUUUCUCUACAGAGUAGAGCCUGGUCAGCAAACACAGUGAAAUUCAACAUUUUCAGCAACUUUUCAUCCAAAUCAAAAUUGAGUCUGUGCCCACAA